CCAAAAAAUCUAAACCAAAAGGCCAAAAAAACAAAAAACACUCAACACAAAAAGACCAAAAUUUUAACUAUUUAUGUACAUGUAUAUAAUCUUCUUCCUCUUCCUCCUUGGAUGCCAAGAAAAUGCCAAGAGUUUCGGUUUUGGAGCCCAUCUCACAGAAAGAAAGACAAAUCAAGAAAGAGGCCAAAACAAGACAGAGAGAGAAAGAGAAGAUUAACUUUGAACCAUUUCUCUCUCUCUCUUGAUGAAUCCCUCUUAUCUUUGGUUUCUCCCAUCACCUGAUUCAAGAAUCACUAUAAUCUCUCCAG
RNAcentral lists this unclassified non-coding RNA (308 nucleotides) under Hevea brasiliensis (rubber tree). The record is from RNAcentral. Lineage: Eukaryota; Viridiplantae; Streptophyta; Magnoliopsida; Malpighiales; Euphorbiaceae.